UUUUUUCAAUUUAUAUUUUAAAUAUGUUCUUAUAUAAUUGUAAAAGAGGUAAUAAUAAAUUUGUUUAGGGUUUUUUGGUUUCGGUAUAUUAUUAAUUUAAAUUCGAAUUUGAAUAGUAAUGCUCAAAUAAUUCAUGAAUAACACUUAAAUACUUAAAUAAAUUUGUGAAUUUGAAUUGAAAUCAUUCAAAAAUAUGCAUAUACCUGAGUCGGUAUUAUUCCUAUUUUGAUCACUUCAAUAAAAAAAAAUCUCAUAUGCUUGUUACUCCUUGUUUGUUUUCAUUAAUUUAUCUAUUUGAG
This 299-nucleotide long non-coding RNA is filed under the name Gossypium barbadense (sea-island cotton). RNAcentral's name for it is "long non-coding RNA (GBAR_LNC019726)". Lineage: Eukaryota; Viridiplantae; Streptophyta; Magnoliopsida; Malvales; Malvaceae. The record is from RNAcentral.